Molecule: ribosomal RNA, 448 nt
Filed under: uncultured bacterium
Lineage: Bacteria
Description: partial 16S ribosomal RNA
Rfam family: Bacterial small subunit ribosomal RNA
Source: RNAcentral
GCCAGACUCCUACGGGAGGCAGCAGUGAGGGAUAUUGGGCAAUGGGGGAAACCCUGACCCAGCGACGCCGCGUGAGGGAAGACGGUCUUCGGAUUGUAAACCUCUGUCUUUGGGGACGAAAAAGGACGGUACCCAAGGAGGAAACUCCGGCUAACUACGCGCCAGCAGCCGCGGUAAUACGUAGGGGGCAAGCGUUAUCCGGAUUCACUGGGUGUAAAGGGAGCGUAGACGGCGACGCAAGUCUGGAGUGAAAGCCCGGGGCCCAACCCCGGGACUGCUCUGGAAACUGCGGCGCUGGAGUACGGGAGGGGCAGGCGGAAUUCCUGGUGUAGCGGUGAAAUGCGUAGAUAUCAGGAGGAACACCGGCGGCGAAGGCGGCCUGCUGGACCGUGACUGACGUUGAGGCUCGAGAGCGUGGGGAGCAAACAGGAUUAGAUACCCUAGUAAA